This 580-nucleotide ribosomal RNA is filed under the name uncultured bacterium. RNAcentral's name for it is "bacterial SSU rRNA". It matches the Rfam family "Bacterial small subunit ribosomal RNA", at positions 331 to 929 of the family's 1533-position model. The record is from RNAcentral.
CCAGACUCCUACGGGAGGCAGCAGUGGGGAAUAUUGGACAAUGGACCGAGAGUCUGAUCCAGCAAUUCUGUGUGCACGAUGAAGUUUUUCGGAAUGUAAAGUGCUUUCAGUUGGGAAGAAAUAAAUGACGGUACCAACAGAAGAAGUGACGGCUAAAUACGUGCCAGCAGCCGCGGUAAUACGUAUGUCACAAGCGUUAUCCGGAUUUAUUGGGCGUAAAGCGCGUCUAGGUGGUUAUAUAAGUCUGAUGUGAAAAUGCAGGGCUCAACUCUGUAUUGCGUUGGAAACUGUGUAACUAGAGUACUGGAGAGGUAAGCGGAACUACAAGUGUAGAGGUGAAAUUCGUAGAUAUUUGUAGGAAUGCCGAUGGGGAAGCCAGCUUACUGGACAGAUACUGACGCUGAAGCGCGAAAGCGUGGGUAGCAAACAGGAUUAGAUACCCUGGUAGUCCACGCCGUAAACGAUGAUUACUAGGUGUUGGGGGUCGAACCUCAGCGCCCAAGCAAACGCGAUAAGUAAUCCGCCUGGGGAGUACGUACGCAAGUAUGAAACUCAAAGGAAUUGACGGCGCCCGCACAAG